Oncorhynchus tshawytscha (Chinook salmon) is the source of this 1157-nucleotide long non-coding RNA. The record is from Ensembl. NCBI's taxonomy places the organism in Eukaryota, Metazoa, Chordata, Actinopteri, Salmoniformes, Salmonidae.
UCUGAAUAGUGUUAUCAGGGAUGUCAUUCUGAAUAGUGUUAUCAGGGAUGUCAUUCUGAAUAGUUAUCAGGGAUGUCAUUCUGAAUAGUGUUAUCAGGGAUGUCAUUCUGAAUAGUGUUAUCAGGGAUGUCAUUCUGAAUAGACAAUCUCAGAGAAACCUUAUGAGGUCAACAAUUAAUAAGGUUUUCUGACUGAACUCAACCAUGAUAUUAUAGAUAUUAGUUAUUUCAAUUCUCCACAUCCAGUCUGUUGUGGAAAAGGACGAACCAUUAAUCUCCACAAUGCUGUAGUACACAGUACAGCCACCAAUCGGACGGGUGGCCCACGGUAUACAAAAAAAAAAUAUUCCCAAAAGGAUCAAUCGUGGUGAUUUAUUAAAUCGUUUCCGUGGCUGUUUUUAUUAUCAAUGUGAUGAUUGAUUACCGAAGUCAUGACGUGUGGUUUUCAUUUGUGAUGAUUGAUUACCGAAGUCAUGAUGUGUGGUUUUCAUUUGUGAUGAUUGAUUACCGAAGAUCUGUUUGGUUGUGGAAAAUCGUCAUUACAUUUUUCUGGGUCCAACUAUCGAUAUCCUACAUAUCCAUUGAUCGAUCCCCUGGUAGAUCAUCAAUAACAUCCAUUUAGUUAGUGCAUGACUAAGUUAUUGGAUUAUAAAUAUAUUAUUUUUGAGUAAUAAAACACCUGACAAACAAGCAAUAGUACUCUUCAGAGGUUAUAGCCACUGAGCUAUGGUUAUAACUGGUUAUAGCCACUGAACUAUGGUUAUAACUGGUUAUAGCCAGAGCCAUGGUUAUAACUGGUUACAAGGGCCCUAAGGAGCGCCGUAGGCAAGUUAUUAGCGGUCGUAGCAUAUGUGGUCAGUGAGGUGUGUGUUUUGAGGAUCUCUGUACUGUAUUUUGAUAACAUUUGUAUUCUACUGGUAGGUGGGUGUGGCGCUCCCUGGUGGCCAGGGAGGGCAAAGCCUGCAUGUCCAUUCUGAUGUUUCUAGUGUAUUUAAUAAACAUUUUACACCCUCAACCUACUGCUCCUGUUGGACUGUAUUAAAGAUUGUAUAGUAAGCCUUACCCAUCUGUGGUAUUGAUAUAAUACAUAACACUCUGCUGAAUGCUAGACCUAUUUCAUCUGUUAGACCUAUUUCAUCUGCUAGACCUAUUUCAUCU